CCGAGUUCAUGCCCUCACGGGUAGAUCUCCCACCCUAUGUUAUUAUUACCUUUGUUGCUUUGGCGGGCCGUCAGGCUUGUGCGCCUGGAUUCGCGUCCAGCGUGCCCGCCAGAGGACCCCUAAACUCUGAAUGUUAGUGUCGUCUGAGUACUAUUAAAUAGUUA
RNAcentral lists this unclassified non-coding RNA (164 nucleotides) under uncultured Lachnum. Its description in RNAcentral is "sequence contains ITS1". The record is from RNAcentral. Lineage: Eukaryota; Fungi; Ascomycota; Leotiomycetes; Helotiales; Hyaloscyphaceae.